This 664-nucleotide ribosomal RNA is filed under the name uncultured Alphaproteobacteria bacterium. Its description in RNAcentral is "bacterial SSU rRNA". It matches the Rfam family "Bacterial small subunit ribosomal RNA", at positions 66 to 776 of the family's 1533-position model. Lineage: Bacteria; Pseudomonadati; Pseudomonadota; Alphaproteobacteria. The record is from RNAcentral.
ACGAAGGCUUCGGCCUUAGUGGCGCACGGGUGCGUAACGCGUGGGAAUCUGCCCUUGGGUUCGGAAUAACAGUUAGAAAUGACUGCUAAUACCGGAUGAUGACGAAAGUCCAAAGAUUUAUCGCCCAGGGAUGAGCCCGCGUAGGAUUAGGUAGUUGGUGGGGUAAAGGCCUACCAAGCCGACGAUCCUUAGCUGGUCUGAGAGGAUGAUCAGCCACACUGGGACUGAGACACGGCCCAGACUCCUACGGGAGGCAGCAGUGGGGAAUAUUGGACAAUGGGCGAAAGCCUGAUCCAGCAAUGCCGCGUGAGUGAUGAAGGCCUUAGGGUCGUAAAGCUCUUUUACCAGGGAUGAUAAUGACAGUACCUGGAGAAUAAGCUCCGGCUAACUCCGUGCCAGCAGCCGCGGUAAUACGGAGGGAGCUAGCGUUGUUCGGAAUUACUGGGCGUAAAGCGCACGUAGGCGGUUAUUCAAGUCAGAGGUGAAAGCCCGGGGCUCAACCCCGGAACUGCCUUUGAAACUAGAUGACUGGAAUCUUGGAGAGGUCAGUGGAAUUCCGAGUGUAGAGGUGAAAUUCGUAGAUAUUCGGAAGAACACCAGUGGCGAAGGCGACUGACUGGACAAGUAUUGACGCUGAGGUGCGAAAGCGUGGGGAGCAAACAGG